RNAcentral lists this ribosomal RNA (696 nucleotides) under uncultured Glomeromycotina. Its description in RNAcentral is "SSU rRNA". It matches the Rfam family "Eukaryotic small subunit ribosomal RNA", at positions 346 to 1045 of the family's 1831-position model. The record is from RNAcentral. Lineage: Eukaryota; Fungi; Glomeromycota.
AUGGUGGUAACGGGUAACGGGGUGUUAGGGCACGACACCGGAGAGGGAGCCUGAGAAACGGCUACCACAUCCAAGGAAGGCAGCAGGCGCGCAAAUUACCCAAUCCCGACACGGGGAGGUAGUGACAAUAAAUAACAAUACAGGGUUCUUUUGGAUCCUGUAAUUGGAAUGAGUACAAUUUAAAUCUCUUAACGAGGAACAAUUGGAGGGCAAGUCUGGUGCCAGCAGCCGCGGUAAUUCCAGCUCCAAUAGCGUAUAUUAAAGUUGUUGCAGUUAAAAAGCUCGUAGUUGAAUUUCGGGAUCAAUAUUUCGGUCAUGCCGUUGGUAUGCACUGUUAUCAUUGAUUUCUCACCUUCUAAAGAACCGUAAUGCCAUUAAUUUGGUGUUACGGGGAAUUAGGACUGUUACCUUGAAAAAAUUAGAGUGUUUAAAGCAGGCUCACGCUUGAAUACAUUAGCAUGGAAUAAUGAAAUAGGACAUCCGAUUCUAUUUUGUUGGUUUCUAGGAUCGAUGUAAUGAUUAAUAGGGAUAGUUGGGGGCAUUAGUAUUCAAUUGUCAGAGGUGAAAUUCUUGGAUUUAUUGAAGACUAACUACUGCGAAAGCAUUUGCCAAGGAUGUUUUCAUUAAUCAAGAACGAAAGUUAGGGGAUCGAAGACGAUCAGAUACCGUCGUAGUCUUAACCAUAAACUAUGCCGA